RNAcentral lists this transfer RNA (68 nucleotides) under Balta maculata. RNAcentral describes it as "tRNA-Phe". It matches the Rfam family "tRNA". Rfam says of the family: Transfer RNA (tRNA) molecules are approximately 80 nucleotides in length. Their secondary structure includes four short double-helical elements and three loops (D, anti-codon, and T loops). Lineage: Eukaryota; Metazoa; Arthropoda; Insecta; Blattodea; Pseudophyllodromiidae. The record is from RNAcentral.
ACUUGAAUAGCUUAAUUAGAGCAUAACACUGAAGAUGUUGAGGAAAUUAGAUUAAUAGUUUUUAAGUA